This 362-nucleotide ribosomal RNA is filed under the name uncultured bacterium. Its description in RNAcentral is "bacterial SSU rRNA". It matches the Rfam family "Bacterial small subunit ribosomal RNA", at positions 30 to 392 of the family's 1533-position model. The record is from RNAcentral.
AUUGAACGCUGGCGGCAUGCCUUACACAUGCAAGUCGAACGGCAGCACGGGAGCAAUCCUGGUGGCGAGUGGCGAACGGGUGAGUAAUAUAUCGGAACGUGCCCAGUCGUGGGGGAUAACGUAGCGAAAGCUACGCUAAUACCGCAUACGAUCUAUGGAUGAAAGCGGGGGAUCGCAAGACCUCGCGCGAUUGGAGCGGCCGAUAUCAGAUUAGGUAGUUGGUGAGGUAAAGGCUCGCCAAGCCGACGAUCUGUAGCUGGUCUGAGAGGACGACCAGCCACACUGGGACUGAGACACGGCCCAGACUCCUACGGAGGCAGCAGUGGGGGAAUUUUUGGACAAUGGCGGCAAGCCUGAUCAGC